GAUGAACGCUGGCGGCGUGCCUAAUACAUGCAAGUCGAGCGAACAGAUGAGGAGCUUGCUCCUCUGACGUUAGCGGCGGACGGGUGAGUAACACGUGGAUAACCUACCUAUAAGACUGGGAUAACUUCGGGAAACCGGAGCUAAUACCGGAUAAUAUAUUGAACCGCAUGGUUCAAUAGUGAAAGACGGUUUUGCUGUCACUUAUAGAUGGAUCCGCGCCGCAUUAGCUAGUUGGUAGGGUAACGGCUUACCAAGGCAACGAUGCGUAGCCGACCUGAGAGGGUGGUCGGCCACACGGAAACUGCGACACGGCCCAGACUCCUCCGGGAGGCAGCAGGGGGGAACCUUCGCAAAUGGGCGAAAGCCUGACGGAGCACCGCCGCGUGGGUGAUAAAGUUCUUCGGAUCAUAACACUCUUUUAUGGGGAAAAAAAAAUUGUAAAAGAAUCAACCCCCGUCUUGACGGUACCUAAUAAAAAAGCCCCGACUAACUCCGCC
This 497-nucleotide ribosomal RNA is filed under the name uncultured bacterium. Its description in RNAcentral is "partial 16S ribosomal RNA". It matches the Rfam family "Bacterial small subunit ribosomal RNA", at positions 28 to 507 of the family's 1533-position model. The record is from RNAcentral.